Molecule: long non-coding RNA, 2391 nt
Organism: Vicia villosa (hairy vetch)
Lineage: Eukaryota; Viridiplantae; Streptophyta; Magnoliopsida; Fabales; Fabaceae
Exons: 5
Source: RefSeq, a predicted model, not a curated record
ACAGUCAAAGAAUAAAAAAUACACAAAUUUAGCCUCAAAGCUUCUCUAAAAAGUGAUACAACCAUCAAAUCCUUCCUAAUUCACAUUAAUCACAAUAAAUUCAAAACCUAAAACCUUCACUGUAAAAACAAGGGGAAAUUGACAGAAAGGGGAGGCCAUUUUACACACACAAAAAUUGGUAAACCAAAAAUCAUCCACGCUCUAACAUAAAGAGGAAGAAGUGAAUUUGGAAACCGAAACUUCGACUCCGCCGCAAAUCACCGCCGUAGCCUCCGGCAACCAUGCUUCCAAGCCGCUCCCUUCCACAAGCGACCACCACCGCGUGAAGCUCCGCGAAUCCUUAUUGUCACCACCGAACUCAAAGCAACAACAAAUCGACGGCGUACCCUUUCGCGCAGAGAAUAAUCUAUCAUGGUGGAGCAUUUGAUGAUGAUAUGGCAAAUAUCAGUGUUUCACAUGUCCUGUAUCUUGACGUUGUUGAUCCAAAUAAGUAGUUUAGGGAAGCAAGUAGUACCAGUGAAGCAACCGCAUCGGCAUGAUGUUCUAGAAAGCAAUCAAUUAUUUCAAAGAAUAGCUGCAGUAUUAAAACAUAGAAAUUAAAGAGAAUAAUCUAUCAUGGUGGAGCAUUUGAUGAUGAUAUGGCAAAUAUCAGUGUUUCACAUGUCCUGUAUCUUGACGUUGUUGAUCCAAAUAAGUAGUUUAGGGAAGCAAGUAGUACCAGUGAAGCAACCGCAUCGGCAUGAUGUUCUAGAAAGCAAUCAAUUAUUUCAAAGAAUAGCUGCAGUAUUAAAACAUAGAAAUUAAAGGUCAGUUGUUUAGUGAAUAUAGCUUACAUGAUCUUUAAUGUCUCUUUGAAAACAUUUUUCAGGUUGCAUAUUUGAACUAUUUUAUCCAUAUCUGCCUAUUGUAAAUUUUAAAUGUGUUUAGGCACUUGAUUCAUUGUUGGUGGAGUUAUGUUAUUCAUGUCAUGAGUAAUUAGCAUACAUAUUCGCUUUUUAUGAUUAUUUAUCUGGUUGUUUAUAUUGUUGUGUGUGAUAGCAUGUUACAUGUCUAUGCUUAGAUCAGAUUUAAUUGUGAAGUAAAUGGCUUUCUCUGCUUUUUUAUUUUCUUGAUAGUUCUUAAUUUUGGCCAAACUGAAUUUGUUUGCUUCAUACUUGGCAGUUCUACUCUAUUUAUUAGUGUUAAUUAUUAAACAGAAUAAUCAACUUGGGAGAAGCAAGAAUAUAUGUGUAGAACGUAAUGAUUGCAUUUUUUUAAUUUUUGAUUAAUAAUGUUUUCAAAAGUUGAUUAAAUAUAAUGAUUGUUGUGUGUUUGUUGUAAAGGAACGUGAUGAGGCUGAAGACAUUAGCUGGUGUUAGUUUGAUUGCAAUUUUAGGUAUUCCAUAUCAUGCAUUUAACAGUAGAGGACAAUUUUAUCCACCAAUAGUGUCAUUUUGCCUCAAUUCCCUAUAACACUAAUAUGGUAUCAUUUUGCCUCGUAUUUUGCUAUGCAGCCAGCUUAUGAGUUAUGUGUUUUUCUAUAGUGCUUGGAAAUUAUAAUCAAAUCGUUGAAUUAAUAUUUUAUAUCUUAAUUAGUUAUUUUUAAUUUAAAUUUAUAAUUUAAUAUUUAUACUUCUAUUCCUACUAAGACUAAUAUUAAAUUUUGAAAUUAUGGUAAAAUUACAGUAUUAUGAGAAACUAUUUAUAUAUGUUUCAAAUUUUAAAAAAAUCGGUGUUUUUUUUUUAUUUAAGUAGAAUUUUGAACAUUUAUGUUUGAUAUCUUCCGAUUUUAAAGAAAGUUUCUAUUUAGAGUUUGAAGCAUAAAAAAAGCAGUAUACGUGAAUAAAGCCAAAUAGUAUAUUAAAUUUGUUUUUUAAUAAAAUAAAAUAAACCAAUAAUAAAUGUAACAGUUUUAAAAUAUUUGCAAUUUUAAAUAUGGUAAUUAUAAGGAUAUUUUCUUUCUUCUGAUUCAAAAUAAUUGAUAUAAAAUUAUCAGAUUUAAAUAGUCUUAAUUACAUCACAAUUAUAUUUUUAUAUAUUCUACAUUUAACUCUAAAUUAAGUAAUGAAUUGACAUUGUACAAUUAUAUUUGGAUAUUUAAAUAUUUCAUUAUUAAUUUCAAUAUUUAUUAUAUUUUUCAAAUUAAUAUUUUUAAUAUUAUUAUUACUAUUUUUUAUAAUGUUGAUCAACUUUAGAAAAUAAAUUUUGGCCAAAAGACGCGUUUUCAUUUUUUAUGACACAAAAUUAAAAACAAUAAUUUUUAUUCACAUUUUCCUAUAAAUGAUUUUAUAACCAAAUAUUUAAAAAUAUGUUGAAUAUUAGAAGUAAUAAAUUUUUGAUGUUGAAAUUGUUUUAUAAUUUGCAAAAAAAAAAAAUUAGUUAAUUUAAUUUUUUUAUGUAUACUAUUAAUAA